AGUGAACGCUGGCGGUAGGCCUAACACAUGCAAGCCGAACGGCAGCACAGUAAGAGCUUGCUCUUACGGGUGGCGAGUGGCGGACGGGUGAGGAAUACAUCGGAAUCUACUUUUUCGUGGGGGAUAACGUAGGGAAACUUACGCUAAUACCGCAUACGACCUACGGGUGAAAGCAGGGGAUCUUCGGACCUUGCGCGAUUGAAUGAGCCGAUGUCGGAUUAGCUAGUUGGCGGGGUAAAGGCCCACCAGGGCGACGAUCCGUAGCUGGUCUGAGAGGAUGAUCAGCCACACUGGAACUGAGACACGGUCCAGACUCCUACGGGAGGCAGCAGUGGGGAAUAUUGGACAAUGGGCGCAAGCCUGAUCCAGCCAUACCGCGUGGGUGAAGAAGGCCUUCGGGUUGUAAAGCCCUUUUGUUGGGAAAGAAAAGCAGCAGGUUAAUACCCCGCUGUUCUGACGGUACCCAAAGAAUAAGCACCGGCUAACUUCGUG
This 492-nucleotide ribosomal RNA is filed under the name uncultured bacterium. RNAcentral describes it as "partial 16S ribosomal RNA". It matches the Rfam family "Bacterial small subunit ribosomal RNA", at positions 29 to 507 of the family's 1533-position model. The record is from RNAcentral.